Molecule: long non-coding RNA, 5875 nt
Filed under: Pan troglodytes (chimpanzee)
Lineage: Eukaryota; Metazoa; Chordata; Mammalia; Primates; Hominidae
Description: long non-coding RNA NONPTRT014076
Source: RNAcentral
UAGGAAUCUAUUCGGUGGUUAGAAGAUGAAAAGGCCCUCUUAGAGAUGACUGAAGAAGUAGAUUAUGAUGUUGAUUCAUAUGCUACACAACUUGAAGCUAUUCUUGAGCAAAAAAUAGACAUUUUAACUGAACUGCGGGAUAAAGUGAAAUCUUUCCGUGCAGCUCUACAAGAGGAGGAACAAGCCAGCAAGCAAAUCAACCCGAAGAGACCCCGUGCCCUUUAAACCGGCAUUUGCUGCUAAAGGAUACCCAGAACCCUCACUACUGUAACAUACAACGGUUCAGCUGUAAGGGCCAUUUGAAAGUUUGGAAUUUUAAAUGUCUGUGGAAAAUGUUUUGUCCUUCACCUGAAUUACAUUUCAAUUUUGUGAAACACUCUUUUGUCUACAAAAUGCUUCUAGUCCAGGAGGCACAACCAAGAACUGGGAUUAAUGAAGCAUUUUGUUUCAUUUACACAAAUAGUGAUUUACUUUUGGAGAUCCUUGUCAGUUUUAUUUUCUAUUUGAUGAAGUAAGACUGUGGACUCAAUCCAGAGCCAGAUAGUAGGGGGAAGCCACAGCAUUUCCUUUUAACUCAGUUCAAUUUUUGUAGUGAGACUGAGCAGUUUUAAAUCCUUUGCGUGCAUGCAUACCUCAUCAGUGAUUGUACAUACCUUGCCCACUCCUAGAGACAGCUGUGCUCACCUUUUCCUGCUUUGUGCCUUGAUUAAGGCUACUGACCCUAAAUUUCUGAAGCACAGCCAAGAAAAAUUACAUUCCUUGUCAUUGUAAAUUACCUUUGUGUGUACAUUUUUACUGUAUUUGAGACAUUUUUUGUGUGUGACUAGUUAAUUUUGCAGGAUGUGCCAUAUCAUUGAACGGAACUAAAGUCUGUGACAGUGGAUAUAGCUGCUGGACCAUUCCAUCUUAUAUGUAAAGAAAUCUGGAAUUAUUAUUUUAAAACCAUAUAACAUGUGAUUAUAAUUUUUCUUAGCAUUUUCUUUGUAAAGAACUAAAAUAUAAACUAGUUGGUGUAUAAUAAAAAGUAAUGAAAUUCUGAGAAGAGUUUUAUCUUAGGAAAAUACAUAUAUAUGCAGUGUGUGUGCCAGUGUGGUAUUAACAAGACUAAUAGUGCAGUUUGAUCCUUACCAAUAUCAUUACUUAAUUUGAAGUGUUCAUUAGCACCCCAAAAUAUACCUUUUCUAUGUACUGUUAAAAGAAAUUGGCUUCUGAUGCAUGAACAUUUACAUGUACAUUGAAAGUAGUCCAUAAUAGAAGUUAGUUUAAGCCAAGUGUAGACAGUACAUUACUCCCUUGAAAAAGAAUUAAGUUGAAAGAGUUGACUUUGCCUUAAAAGGCAGAUCUAACCCAAGCUCCAUCCAGUACCAAAUGUGAAACUUCAUUGUUGUUUGGUGAGAAUCGCCAAAUUCUCACUAAUACAUUGGUAUGGUGUAGGGCAUGCUACUUUUUAAACAGUAGCACUUAUUUUUACAGAUUGCUACUCCAAGGAAGAAAACUGGCCACUUUUCAUGUAAAUAUUUUGUUCAAAGAUUUGUAUAUCUCUCUAGGAGUUUUCCCUCAGUUCCCAGGAUGGGGUCCAGGAGUAGAUUAACAGCUGAAAAUCUCCCAAGGAUAUCUUCUUUUGAUUUAUUUACUCCAGGGAACUAUCAGCUCCUUCACAGGAGCCAAAGGGGAGCUAUGAAUAGAGGGUCACAUGAGCCAGAUUCUUUACUGUUCAUAAAACCCAGAGAGUAGUUGUGAAAGAUCCUAAUACAAUUGUGAAAAGCUCUGUAAACAUGAAAUCUAAAACAAAUGUAGAUUUUCACAAUAUGCUUAUUAAUAAAUGAAGUCUAUGGAAUAAGUUUUAGAGAUAAUUUACUUCAGUCACCUUUGUUUUGGAAAGGACUCAGGUUUUCUUGCAGCUGUAAGAUAUAUUCUAUUUGUGUUUAUUUCAAAGGGAAGAGGGAGGAUGGAGAACUGUUACAAUUGACCUUGCAAAGGAUAUUUAAAAAAAGGUAGUUUUUGAGAUUAACCAACUUUCAAAGGGCAAUAAAGACAUGUGAAUUUGCUCAUUUUAAAGCACAACAGAUUAGCUUCAAAUUUAUUAUUUGCAUUGGAUGGGUACUGUCUUUGGAAAGUCUCCUUAUAGACAAAUAUGCUGCCUUACACUAUGAUGGCUUCAUUCUGAUCAGGUAUUUUAAAAAUUAGUACCAGAAAACAUACUGGAGGUAGUAUAAUACAGUCCUUCAGCUUUACAGAUGGUGAAAACUGAAGGCCAGAAAAGAAAGGAACUAAAACUCAGCAGUUCAUAGGGGUAGAGGGAAAUAACCUGAGAAAGCUGAGUUAAAUCUUAAAAUUUUUACUAUAAGGAUAGAGAUGAUACAAGUGAACUCUGCAAAAUAGUUUUGUGAAAUUAAACAAAAAAAUCUACUCUUAAUGUAUAUUUCAUAUUUGUUUAACAAAAGCAGCUUGAUGCCUUUGUUCUGGAUUAUACAUUAAGAACAAGCAUUAUUUUAAUUAUGUAGUAACAUUUACUAUGACUUUGAAGCCAGAUUUCAAAAUCUGGCUUUGUUAAAUUAAUUGGAAACACUCCUUCUAUUAAGUUAGGUAUUAAAAAAAGCCAAAUAUCAAUAAAGAUAUUUUUAUUAAUUUUUUAUAGAAACAAAAUAGCUACUAUAACUCUAUUAUAGUAUAUUAACAGCACUUAGUAUUAUAUUGAUUUAAACGUAGUAGCUAAUAAAACUUGUUUAUGACAUCUAUUGAAAUUCUCAAUCUGACAGUUUUAAAAUAGCUUAAAACUAAGCACCAGGUAUAUGAAAAAAGAACUGGAAAUUUUAAUUGUCCAGAAAUCAAAGGAAUACUGGGAACCUGUAGUUAUGGGAAAUGGCUGUUUUUCUGAAGUUGAAACCAGUUUCAAUUACAAAACCCUCUGAAAUUUUGCUAAGCCUAUAGUUAUCUCCCUAAGAACCAUAAAAAAAGAUAAUUUUAUUGUUAAUUUCAUUCCAGUUUAGCUUCCUCAUUUUACAUGUUGGGAGUCAUGCCCUUUAAUAUGCCUGGCACUGCACGGUGGCAGUAGCAGACUUGGGCUUACCCAGAACCCUAAGUCUCUGACGCUAUAGGAUAGCGAAAGAGGUAGGCAAUCGUAACAGACACUGUAUAGGAUAAAUAGGGAAGAGAAUGAGAGAACCAAAAUAAAAAUAAUUUAAGAAACAAUUGUUUUACUGUACAUGUGAAUAACAAGAAAUGGUACGGGGAAUGUGAAUAACACGAAAUGGUAUGGGGAAUGUGUGACUAGUGAAGCAUAUUUUAACUUUUUUAUUACUGGAGGAACAGAGCUAAAGGCCUAAAGAAGGCCUUACAGUAUAUAACAGUAAAUAGAAGAGUAACAUCUUUAUACAAUAAACUGUUAGAAAUGAUAAGUGUAAAGUUGUGCGUCUCUGCGGCUCCUGAACUUGAAGAUUAUUAUGAAUAGAUUAGACCAGCAUUAUAUAUUAAAAACUUUGAUACUUAGAACUUUCCAACUUUAAAAUUCAGAAUCAUAAAUGGUGACAACAGUAGUAGUAUUGAACCAAAAAUAGUCAAGUAAAUAAUGUCUCAGUAAAGCAAAAGCAUUAUCUUCUCAAAUACAAAAAAUACAAAAUUCAUUUCUUUUCUUGACCUUGAAAAUUUCUGUUUUCCAAAUACCUAGGAAAAAUGAAUACCUUCUGCGUUGAAUCCAUGUAGCAAUCUGAAAAAAGAAAUCAAAAUGGAAUGGUACUGAAAAGCUAAUUUGUAGCACAUAACGGCAUAUAGUUCUAUACCAUUAAUACUAAAACAUGAAUACAGCAUGCUUACAGAGCCCACCCACUCCUAAUACUAGUUAUUAAAGAAACGUUACUGGCUGGGCGCAGUGGCUUAUGCCUGUAAUCCCAGCACUUUGGGAGGCUGAGGCGGGUGGAUUACCUGAGGUCAGGAGUUCGAGAACAGUCUGGCCAACAUGGUGAAACCCCGCCUCUACUAAAAAUACAAAAAUUAGCCUGGCAUGGUGGCACAUGCCUGUAAUCCCAGCUACUCGGGUGGUUGAGGCAGGAGAUUUGCCUGAACCCAGGAGGCGGAGGUUGCAGUGAGCUGAGAUUGUGCCACUGGAGUCCAGCCUGGGUGACAGAGCAAGACUCUGUCUCAAAAAAAAAAAAAAAAAGAAAAAGAAAUGUUAUUGUCUGACUAAAUUUAUAAGAUAUGUAUUGGUUAAAACCAUGCCAUGUUGGUGCCUCUUUCAUUAUAGCCUUUAUGUCGUAAUGAAUUUGACUAAAAUUAUCUUAGACUUUCAUUAUCCCAGGCCUAAGAACUCACUGGCAUUUGUUUCAAGGUAACUGAACAAGAAGCUGUUUGGAAUUGGCAGAAGUCAGAUGAAUAACCAAUCUUACAUGCCCCUUCGUCCUCUCUUGAGCUGUUGUUUAUAUUCAAAUUAAAUACACAUUGUUUCUCUCUGUAGAUACCUAUGUACUUAAUAGAUUCUAGUUAGUAAACUGCACAUGCCCAAUAACUUUGAGGAAAUUUAGUGAAAAUGAAGAAAAAGAGAAAAUAUUUCUCUUUAGACCUGAGGUUAUGUUUAGGCUGGCCCAUAGAAACAGGUCCAGAUAAAUUUCUAAAAAAGCAAAGUAGAUAUUUAUGAAUAGUAUUCAAUGCCUAGGAUUAACAUCUAAAAUGACUCAGUAGUACUGCUAGCCAGCCAAUAAAAUAUAAACUCCAUUUGUCUUAGUUAUAUAGAACUGUGUUUCCAGCUUAGAAAAAGUCAAACCAAUGACUUUUAGAACAAUCUACUCUCAUUUUUUAUUCAGCCUCUAGAACAUGGAAGCUUUAAAAGUGAAUUGGCUAAAUAGGCAAGACCUUCUGAAAGUUAACAUCUUAAUGAUUAAAAACAGUAAGUACAGGUUAGUAAUUACCUGGGUAAUUAAUUGAAGCCUUAUUCUGUUUUCAUAAGACUUACUUGCUUAAUUCAAGCAAAACAAAUUUUGGUCUAAAUUACCUAGAUAAUUAUGACAGCUUUUUACUUGAGAAGUGUAGAACUUGCUUCAGGCUACAAAACUAUUAUUACUAAAUGGAUAACCAGGUAGGAUUCUAACUGGCAUUAUUGUAUGCUUAAGAUUGAUUUAACAACAGCUAUUCCCAGUAAGGAAAUUUUAAAAAUCAGAUCCAGUUACAUGUAUUAUGAUUUUUCUACCUUAUGGACUAUUUUGGAGGGAUAAGCUAUUAAGACUAAGACUAUGAAUGAGAGUUGGGGAGGGAGCAGGAAGGGAGGAACCUGCACACCACAUUGGAACCUGCACACCACAUUAACACAAAGGCAAUCUUCUGGCUCGGACUGUUCUUUACUACUGUUCUUAAAGAAAAUGUUCAUUCUGCUGCAGCUAACUAGCCUCCAUCUUCUACACCAAAUACUAUUCCAUGCCAUGGAAGUGCUAUGCAAUAACUCUCCCAGGUAGCACCUUAUACCGCUUAAAAGCCUUUAAAAUCUCUAAUCUGAAGGUGUCACAGUAAAGAAAUGUAAACACUUAGGAAAACAAAAAUGUAAUUACCUGAUGAAGUCAUCUAUGUCCAUGGAACGGGCCCGUUUGUCACUAAAACCUGUGCUGGUUAGGAUUUGCUGUAUUUUAUCUGCUAUGCUGAAAUCUUCUGGUAUUAUCUAUCAAUAUAAGAUUCAGAAUAAAUGAACGACAUAUCUUUAAUGAGGUCACCUUGACUCUUUUUUUUAGUUCAGUAAGUCAUAAAACAGUCACCUUUAAUAUAUCUGUUAAUGAGACUUUGGAAAGCCUGACUUUUACAUUAAGACUUGGAUCUCUAAUUAAAAGUGGCUGAUCUUUAUUAACAAAAACUUGGAAUACCUUGAAUUAGUAAUCCUGUCUAUAUUAGCCAUUUU